CGAGACUCCGCCCUCAAAUUGAGUCAACAGCUCACAAGUCCUCCUCGCUGCCACCAUCUCCAUCCAGAGCUUUCAAAGCCUUUGUGAGUCUCUUGACAUGCUCUUGUGUCGAGACCCACCGAGUCAAGAAGCUUUUGAGGCUAUUAACGCUUGACCUACAAAGACAUAUUUGUUGAAUCUAAUUAAAGUCUAAUUAAAGAGAAGCUAUUGACUGCGCUGAUUGUUCUAUUAAACCCUUUGAACUGCUGGGGUUACAGAGAAUCAUUUCAAGUAAUCUAUGAAGGGUUUUGACGAGGGUUUUGAGGUCGGCGAUGUGUUGAGAGAGAGUAGGGAAAUGUGGGUCCUUGGAGAGGAGGGCAUCGGAUUCGGUCUCGAACUUGAGCGGAGCUAAUGGCGGAUGGGUUGAACUUAGCCGAGUCGGAGCUAGGGUGCGCUUGGAGAUCGACUUCUCAACCGAGGCUUGCUUAAGAGCUUCUAGAACGUUGAGCACUCAUGGAGGUUGUUCCUGCCCGGAUGGGUCUUCCAUAAUCACAACUCCUUUGAUUUUGUGCUGUUUUGAUUGUUCACGGAGUUACAUGAAAUAAAGGCAACGACAACUCACUGAGUCACUGUCAACCAACCGACUGACCAACCAAUUUGUCCUGAGGCUUGAAAUUUCCCUGCUAAUCUUUUAGCAGCGUCAGGUAUACAAACCGUCAUUAGGGUAAUUUCAUCUUUUCAAAGUCAACUAACUGUCAACUAACUGCCAACUAUAAAUUUAACUAACGGUGAGGGAGUGCUUCCAAAUAAAUCUAUUUUCACCAUCUACUUGCAACUGCCUCAAACCUUGGGGAAGUUUCUAAAAAAUUACCCUUCAAGAAAAUGUGUCAAAAGAGUUUAGACCAGUUGAUCAAUAACUGAAAUUGUUCCUUGAAGGGAUUAUGCAGGGUGUUAGCUGAGAUCACAACUGCUUUCUCUUAACCAGAAGGGGAAAAAAGAGUGACUGUGUGGAAUGUUAAAGCAGAAAUUAGUGCAGAUAAAUCAUGAGAAGAAUUCAUCCCUACCUUACACUGAAGCUGACUGAUCUUCUCUGGAGGCAAUCCACUAAGCAAUUUCAAAGAGCCAGCAUGAAAUAGAUGUCGUUUCUUGUCAAAUGAAUAGUAAUUUCUUGACACAAACACUAUAUUGUUCUCAAUAUCCUUCUCAACAACAUACCUGUAAACAAUGUACAACAACCCUUACGCGGUGAAACUGAAGAACAACAAAACAAGGAAGAAAACAAAAGAUUCUAAUCAGCGACAACCAAUAGUAAAAAAUAUUGAUAAGAAGAUAGCAAAAUAUAUAUUCAAAUGAAUUAUCUAAAGUAUGAAAGAAGUUAUUGAUUGAUUCAAUUUUAGCAACUGUCAUUUAAGAGGAUCAUACCCCAGAAAAAUAAUAUAGACAGUUACUUAAAAAAAAAAAAAUACUAUCUUUGGCAAAAAGAAAGAGUGACAGCAUACCCCUCAGGGUCCUCCAAGGAGACCUAGUUCUUGGUGUUGACCAAUUGUGUAGAACCAAAAUCCCCGAUGUUUUUCAAGGAAGUCCCCUGUCUCAGCUUCCAAUAUGAUACCUUCCACUACCCAAUGUGUCUGGCAACAAAUUCACUAAAUUUUAUCUACAGAAAAUUAGUUGUCAGAUGCAGUCACAAAUUACAAGCCCAUCUUCAUGCACUUGGAAGGUAUAAACAUUUUUACGUAAAAAUUAUGAUGAGGGGGUUGACUUCUGUGGAAUAGUGUACAAUUCCUUGCAUUUAUGUGCAUCAGUGCCUUACAAAUCAAGACAUAGGUUCAUUUUUUUAUUAUGUUUUGUGUUCUCUGCUGAUUGUUUGAAUGAAAUGCUUUGGUGCUUUGUGAUUUAUAAUAUUUUGACCUUUAACCUUUUGGCUUUCACCAAAUAUGAAAAUUAGAGAGCUUUAUCAUUAAGAGGAUAACAUUAAGAAAAAAAAAAUAAUUAUAAUAGUAAUAAUAGCAAAGGUAAUAUGCUCAAACAGGUUCAGAAACUAUUAUACUAUAUAGUGCUGUAGAAAUUGGAUUAUAACUUAAAUCUAGAAGAAUUUUAGUCUAAAAACAACAGCUUGCAGAGCCUACCUUCCCCAGGAAGCAGAUUCCCCAUGAAUCCUUUUUAUCCUUGUUACGCAGAUCAAAUUUUGUAGCAAGCUUGCGAACUUCUUCCUGCCGAUAAUUUGGUAGAGAGAAUUUACAACAAUAGAACUCAAAAAGAAAAGAAAAGCACGUGUAUGCAAAACUUCUGCACAAUGGUAAGUAAAAACUAGGACAUCCAAUCUGCCUACAAGGUAACUACAUUGAUAAAAUUCAUCAUUUGGCACAAGGGAAGAGAAUCCCCAUCUAAGUCCCAGAUUCACAUUUUAAAUAUGUGAAAUUCAAUGGUAAUUGCACUAACAUGGUUUGCAUAUUCUAAGGAUUUCAG
This 2445-nucleotide long non-coding RNA is filed under the name Citrus x clementina. RNAcentral describes it as "Citrus clementina (C. clementina) long non-coding RNA (CCLE_LNC000359)". Lineage: Eukaryota; Viridiplantae; Streptophyta; Magnoliopsida; Sapindales; Rutaceae. The record is from RNAcentral.